AAUCAAUUGGAUUCAUUUUAUGGGUCAAUUGAACCUAUUGGCUAAUUAACAAGCUAGCACUUGUUGGCUAACUCAAGCUCCAAGCCAAAUUAGAUUUGGCUUAAGUCUUAUUUAAUUGGGCUUACCUAUUUAUCUAGGAUCUUGAUUGGAUUGAGCCUAAAGAGAGUAACUAAGUUCGGGUAUCCCCAAGCCUUAUCCAUGCCC
Molecule: long non-coding RNA, 204 nt
Filed under: Elaeis guineensis (African oil palm)
Lineage: Eukaryota; Viridiplantae; Streptophyta; Magnoliopsida; Arecales; Arecaceae
Description: long non-coding RNA (EGUI_LNC055051)
Source: RNAcentral